GGUCUUUUAAGUCUGAUGUGAAAGCCCACGGCUUAACCGUGGAGGGUCAUUGGAAACUGGAGGACUUGAGUACAGAAGAGGAGAGUGGAAUUCCACGUGUAGCGGUGAAAUGCGUAGAGAUGUGGAGGAACACCAGUGGCGAAGGCGACUCUCUGGUCUGUAACUGACGCUGAGGAGCGAAAGCGUGGGGAGCGAACAGGAUUAGAUACCCUGGUAGUCCACGCCGUAAACGAUGAGUGCUAGGUGUUAGGGGGUUUCCGCCCCUUAGUGCUGAAGUUAACGCAUUAAGCACUCCGCCUGGGGAGUACGGCCGCAAGGCUGAAACUCAAAAGAAUUGACGGGGGCCCGCACAAGCGGUGGAGCAUGUGGUUUAAUUCGAAGCAACGCGAAGAACCUUACCAGGUCUUGACAUCCUCUGACAGCGGUAGAGAUACCGUGUUCCCUUCGGGGACAGAGUGACAGGUGGUGCAUGGUUGUCGUCAGCUCGUGUCGUGAGAUGUUGGGUUAAGUCCCGCAACGAGCGCAACCCUUGAUCUUAGUUGCCAGCAUUAAGUUGGGCACUCUAAGGUGACUGCCGGUGACAAACCAGAGGAAGGUGGGGAUGACGUCAAAUCAUCAUGCCCCUUAUGACCUGGGCUACACACGUGCUACAAUGGAUGGAACAAAGGGAAGCGAAGCCGCGAGGUGUAGCAAAUCCCAUAAAACCAUUCUCAGUUCGGAUUGUAGGCUGCAACUCGCCUACAUGAAGCCGGA
RNAcentral lists this ribosomal RNA (753 nucleotides) under uncultured bacterium. RNAcentral's name for it is "bacterial SSU rRNA". It matches the Rfam family "Bacterial small subunit ribosomal RNA", at positions 577 to 1330 of the family's 1533-position model. The record is from RNAcentral.